CCAGAGAGAAAGGCCAGGUCACCUACAAA
This 29-nucleotide non-coding RNA is filed under the name Homo sapiens (human). The record is from RNAcentral. Lineage: Eukaryota; Metazoa; Chordata; Mammalia; Primates; Hominidae.